GCUGAUAGCUCAGUUGGUUUUUGAGUAUGGGGCUAAUAACACCAAGGUCGUAAGUUGGAUCCCCAUGUGGGACA
Molecule: non-coding RNA, 74 nt
Organism: Podarcis lilfordi (Lilford's wall lizard)
Lineage: Eukaryota; Metazoa; Chordata; Lepidosauria; Squamata; Lacertidae
Source: the annotation of a GenBank genome assembly